UCAAACUUGGUCAUUUAGAGGAAGUAAAAGUCGUAACAAGGUUUCCGUAGGUGAACCUGCGGAAGGAUCAUUAUAGAACAAUCAAACCCAUGUAGAGUGUGCUGUAGCUGGCCUUCGUGGCAUGUGCACGCCAUUCUGCAAUUGUUCUCCAUCCACCUGUGCACACUUUGUAGACUUUACAAAUGUCAGUCACCUGAAAAUGGUGGUUUGGAGAGGGGUAGUUUACCUGCCUCUCUUGAAUGUUUGUAGUCUAUGUUUUACACACACUAGCUGAAUGUCUUGGAAUGUCAUGUUAUAUUCAAACAAGUAUAACUUUCAGCAACGGAUCUCUUGGCUCUCGCAUCGAUGAAGAACGCAGC
Molecule: unclassified non-coding RNA, 359 nt
Filed under: uncultured fungus
Lineage: Eukaryota; Fungi
Description: partial contains small subunit ribosomal RNA, internal transcribed spacer 1, and 5.8S ribosomal RNA
Rfam family: Eukaryotic small subunit ribosomal RNA (bases 1-73)
Source: RNAcentral